Molecule: ribosomal RNA, 452 nt
Filed under: uncultured bacterium
Lineage: Bacteria
Description: bacterial SSU rRNA
Rfam family: Bacterial small subunit ribosomal RNA
Source: RNAcentral
AACGAACGCUGGCGGCAGGCUUAACACAUGCAAGUCGAACGGUUGUAGCAAUACAGCAGUGGCGCACGGGUGAGUAACGCGUGGAUAUCUGCCUUUUGGUUCGGAAUAACUCCGGGAAACUGGAGCUAAUACCGGAUGGUUCCUACGGGAUAAAGAUUUAUCGCCAAAAGAUGAGUCCGCGUACGAUUAGCUAGUUGGUGAGGUAAUGGCUCACCAAGGCGACGAUCGUUAGCUGGUCUGAGAGGACGAUCAGCCACACUGGGACUGAGACACGGCCCAGACUCCUACGGGAGGCAGCAGUGGGGAAUAUUGGACAAUGGGGGCAACCCUGAUCCAGCCAUGCCGCGUGAGUGAUGAAGGCCUCGGGUUGUAAAGCUCUUUGGUCGGGGACGGAUGAUGACGGUACCCGCAGAAUAAGCCCCGGCUAACUUCGUGCCAGCAGCCGCGGUAAU